UACGUAGGUGGCAAGCGUUGUUCGGAAUUACUGGGCGUAAAGGGCGCGUAGGCGGCCUUCUAAGUCGGACGUGAAAUCCCUGGGCUCAACCCAGGAACUGCGUCCGAUACUGGAAGGCUUGAAUCCGGGAGAGGGAUGCGGAAUUCCAGGUGUAGCGGUGAAAUGCGUAGAUAUCUGGAGGAACACCGGUGGCGAAGGCGGCAUCCUGGACCGGUAUUGACGCUGAGGCGCGAAAGCCAGGGGAGCAAACGGG
This 253-nucleotide ribosomal RNA is filed under the name uncultured bacterium. RNAcentral's name for it is "partial 16S ribosomal RNA". It matches the Rfam family "Bacterial small subunit ribosomal RNA", at positions 524 to 776 of the family's 1533-position model. The record is from RNAcentral.